AAGGGAGAGAGGGAUGGAGGGAGGGAAGAAGGAAGGAAGGACGGACCAGCCUGUUAGGCUGACUGACAGAGUACCCCCUGUCCUCCAAUGCUGCCCACGGCAGGCAUGUGGCAGUGGCUGACAGGGAGUGAGUCUGGAAGCGACCCUUGUCGGGGCAGCCUCCUUGGUCCUGUGAUUCAAGACAGGGUGAAAGUCAGUGGCGGCCAUUGGUGCCUCUGGCCGGGGUUCCUCACAGGGGCCCGCAAGGGGACAGCGAAUGGAGCGUGGAGGGUGGAGGGCUCCUUCUCCAGACCGGAGCGAUGGGUUCGGGAGCCAUUCUGUGCCUGUCUUUGCUGCUGGGCUGAGGAGCUGGAUGGCAUGCUGGGAGUAGUGGGAGCUGCUGAGGAGUUUGGUCCUGGAGCGAAGAGGCUGAAUCCGCAUGUCUGGAGUCACCGUGGAGGGCACAGCUAGAGGGAGCAGCAGGGUGUCCCAGGGAGAAGACACCAGGGCUGGAAUUAGAGGGACAUCAAGGCUGAUACUUAGAGGCAUCCAAUAUAUGGGGCCUGCCUGAUGGGCUGCUCUCAGGUGGGAUUUGGGGGGUGUGAGAGGGGUCAGUGCCCAAAUGACCAUGGGGUCCGUGGCCUGUAUGCCCAGUCAGGUGACGACGCCAUUCAGAAAGUAGAUCUCAUGGGGUGCCCGGCUGCUGAGUCUCAGGCCAGAUCUGCAGUGAGUGUGCUGCCCCAGGCGUGGAACACUCUGGUGCCAUCGGGACCCAAGGCUGAGUGCACCCAAGAGCUGUGGGUCUGAAACAGCGGUCAGAGGUCACUGACAUGUGGAGGAGGCCCCUGGAGUGUGGGAGACAGAAUCCCCAGGUGUCAGGCUUGGCAGGAGGCUUUGCAGGUGGGGAGGAAGGGCAGGUAGCGUGGCUGCCGGAGGAGGGAGGGCACUGGUAGGAGGAGGGUGGCCUGUCCCGGGCAGACCAGCCUCUUUGGGCUGUGUGGCCCCAGCUCCCUGAGCCCAGAGGGAGGUGAGGGUGAGAAGGCCUGGACCAGGCAGGACGCAGCCCCCAGGGCCCCUGCUGGGAAGAGGUCAGAACCUCCCAAGGACCCAGAAGGCCAGAACACACUAGAGGGUCCCGGCAUCCUGAUGAGUCCACUGUCCCCGCGAUGGUUUUCAGGGAUGGAGAAGGCUCCCUGUCCUCCGCUGGAACCCUGCAGCCGGGCUGACGAGACCCCAGCGAGACCUGCAGAACAUUACAGCAGAAUGAAGGAGAGCCAGAGGAAGAGGCAGAUGUGCUGGCCUGUAAACAGUCUGAUUUCCAAUGUAAACCAGAUUCAGGCCCACGACAUCAGUGCUCAGAAGCUGCAGACACUAUGGAACCGCUUUUCAGGCCCCGUGGCCGUCACCCCCGCUCUAGAGACUUGAUUGCAGGGACCAUGCCCGGCCGGCCUAACUGCACCCCUCACUCCAGUCUCUUCUCACGUGCACGACCUCACAGCGCUGUCACAAGGCCUGCUGGGCACACGCAGCUCAUAGAGAAGUGAUGGCUUCCUCCUUGCCCCCUCACCUCCCUCCUUCCCCUCUCCCCCUCACUUCGGAGCACGCAGGCUGAUUGUGGAGACAUCUCCCAGCCAGGAUGUGUCAACAGGGAAUGUGCUGGGGACAGCGGGAGUUCACAGCCACCCCCGCAGGCGCCUUCCUGGAGCACGUCCACAGGCCAUGUGCAGCUGCAUCCCCCACGACGGCAGGGACAAGUUCCUUCCAUAGGGCCCGGGUGGCCCCCAGAGCUGCACCAUUUAUGAUCCGGUCCUUUGCAGAACGCAAGGGACAGACACAUGAACCCUGACCUAGGUUCUUGUGCAGAAAUGUUCUCUCAUCGGAAUAGAAAGGUAUGAGUCUCAGGACUGGUUCUCUGCAAAGCAGCCAUCGGCCUUUCAAGCAGAAACCAUGGAGCCCCCAGAGGCUGAGUCUUCCAAGGCGCUGGGAGACUUGGCGUUUGCCUCUUUUUUAAAUGCAAUGACCGUUGCAGUGCAUGGAAUCAGAGACAUGUAUCUAUGCGUAGAAAUGAGUCUGUAAACACGAUCAAGGUGUGAUUUCUGUAUGACAAUGCAGUUGGAUCAGAAAUUGGAGAGUGCUGGCCGGGCGCGGCGGCUCACGCCUGUAAUCCCAGCACUUUGGGAGGCCGAGGCGGAUGGAUCACUUGAGGUCAGGAGUUCGAGACCAGCCUGGGCAACAUGGUGAAACCCCAUCUCUACUGAAAACACAGAAAUUAGCCGGGUGUGGUGGCGUGUGCCUGUAGUCCCAGCUACUCGGGAGGCUGACGUGGGAGGAUCACUUGAGCCCAGGAGGCAGAGGCUGCAGUGAGUAGAGAUAGCACCACUGAACUCCAGCCUGGGCAACAGACUGAG
This 2387-nucleotide long non-coding RNA is filed under the name Homo sapiens (human). RNAcentral describes it as "PREDICTED lncRNA (TCONS_00035074)". Lineage: Eukaryota; Metazoa; Chordata; Mammalia; Primates; Hominidae. The record is from RNAcentral.